UUUUUUUUUUUUUUUCUCAUUGCAUUGUAACUGACUGAAGGUAAAGAUGUUUAUUUUGAACAAGUUAUUUAGCUUAAAAAGGUUGUUCCAUUGGGGUUGCUAAGGUAACAAGCCUAAUUGUUUUUUUUAAACGGCAAAAUGUUCAAUUUAACCCCUGUAUUCAUUGGGGAAAUUCAAUUUAAAUCAUUUUCAACUUUUUGUUCAAAUUAGC
Molecule: unclassified non-coding RNA, 211 nt
Filed under: Hevea brasiliensis (rubber tree)
Lineage: Eukaryota; Viridiplantae; Streptophyta; Magnoliopsida; Malpighiales; Euphorbiaceae
Source: RNAcentral